GAUGAACGCUGGCGGCGUGCCUAAUACAUGCAAGUCGAGCGAACAGACGAGGAGCUUGCUCCUCUGACGUUAGCGGCGGACGGGUGAGUAAAACGUGGAUAACCUACCUAUAAGACUGGAAUAACUUCGGGAAACCGGAGCUAAUACCGGAUAAUAUAUUGAACCGCAUGGUUCAAUAGUGAAAGACGGUUUUGCUGUCACUUAUAGAUGGAUCCGCGCCGCAUUAGCUAGUUGGUAAGGUAACGGCUUACCAAGGCGGCGAUGCGUAGCCGACCUGAGAGGGUGAGCGACCACACUGGAACUGGUACACGGUCCAGACGCCUACGGGAGGCAGCAGUAGGGAAUCUUCCGCAAUGGGCGAAAGCCUGACGGAGCAACGCCGCGUGAGUGAUGAAGGUCUUCGGAUCGUAAGACUCUGUUAUUAGGGAAGAACAAAUGUGUAAGUAACUAUGCACGUCUUGACGGUACCUAAUCAGAAAGCCACGGCUAACUACGUG
RNAcentral lists this ribosomal RNA (497 nucleotides) under uncultured bacterium. Its description in RNAcentral is "partial 16S ribosomal RNA". It matches the Rfam family "Bacterial small subunit ribosomal RNA", at positions 28 to 507 of the family's 1533-position model. The record is from RNAcentral.